UUACGGGAGGCAGCAGUGGGGAAUAUUGCACAAUGGAGGAAACUCUGAUGCAGCGACGCCGCGUGAGUGAAGAAGGUCUUCGGAUCGUAAAACUCUGUCCUUGGUGAAGAAAAAAUGACGGUAGCCAAGGAGGAAGCCCCGGCUAACUACGUGCCAGCAGCCGCGGUAAU
This 170-nucleotide ribosomal RNA is filed under the name Sedimentibacter sp. NP2. RNAcentral's name for it is "partial 16S ribosomal RNA". It matches the Rfam family "Bacterial small subunit ribosomal RNA", at positions 339 to 524 of the family's 1533-position model. Lineage: Bacteria; Bacillati; Bacillota; Tissierellia. The record is from RNAcentral.